CAAAGGAAUUGACGGGGACCCGCACAAGCAGUGGAGCAUGUGGUUUAAUUCGAUGCAACGCGAAGAACCUUACCCAGGCUUGACAUGCAGAUGACCGCUCUAGAAAUAGAGUUUCCUUCGGGACAUUUGCACAGGUGCUGCAUGGCUGUCGUCAGCUCGUGCCGUGAGGUGUUGGGUUAAGUCCCGCAACGAGCGCAACCCUUAUCAUUAGUUGCCAACAGGUGAAGCUGGGAACUCUAAUGAGACUGCCUGGGUUAACCAGGAGGAAGGUGAGGAUGACGUCAAGUCCGCAUGGCCCUUAUGUCUGGGGCUACACACGUGCUACAAUGGUCGGUACAGAAGGCAGCGAAACCGCGAGGUGAAGCAAAUCCAACAAAGCCGAUCUCAGUUCAGAUUGUAGUCUGCAACUCGACUACAUGAAGACGGAAUUGCUAGUAAUGGCGAGUCAGCAACAUCGCCGUGAAUACGUUCCCGGGUCUU
This 480-nucleotide ribosomal RNA is filed under the name uncultured Candidatus Protochlamydia sp. Its description in RNAcentral is "bacterial SSU rRNA". It matches the Rfam family "Bacterial small subunit ribosomal RNA", at positions 902 to 1382 of the family's 1533-position model. The record is from RNAcentral. Lineage: Bacteria; Pseudomonadati; Chlamydiota; Chlamydiia; Parachlamydiales; Parachlamydiaceae.